Molecule: long non-coding RNA, 27656 nt
Filed under: Solanum tuberosum (potato)
Lineage: Eukaryota; Viridiplantae; Streptophyta; Magnoliopsida; Solanales; Solanaceae
Description: long non-coding RNA (STUB_LNC002371)
Source: RNAcentral
UUUUUUUUUUGUUUGAUAUUUUAAAUAUAGCUCUGAUAAAGAACAGAAAAGCUUUGUUUGUGUGCUUAGUAGUUAAACAAAUUAUAAGAAAAUAAAUAAUGAAGAUAAAAUUUGGUAAGAGUUGAGUGGCUCUAUGACCCAUUGUUUAGCCCACCUUGACCAUUUAUCAAUUCAACCAUUUUGACCUGCUCAUAUUCAACCCAAAUCGUCCAUUUGUCACCUAUAUAUGUGAGUUGGUUGCCACAUAUUUCCCUCGCUGUAUACAUUUUUCCUGUAGUAAGUUGUAAUACAUUCACAUUAAGUUUUAGUUCGUAAUAAUAUUUUCUGUUGUCCUGAAUUCUUUCUUAUGCAGGAAAACUAGCUGUAAAGAAUGCCGUAAUUUUUCAUGCAUUAAGUUAUCAAAAGUUAUUGGUUGGCUGAAGCUGGCUUUCAUUCUCAGUCGUGAGAUUCCCUUGCUUUCUCAAAAGGUUACUUUCUUUGGUUGAUCUGUACUAGAAAUUCCUCUCUUAGCUAAGUGUAUACUUCAACAAUCUUGUUUCUGUUAUCUACCUUUUGAGAGACUUGCAUUCUUACUUAUCAGUCUGCUUCCUUUUCACUCACUUGGAAUUAUCUCCUUUGGGUAUAUACAUUUACAAAAUGCUAUACAGAAAUUCCCCUAAGCGGCUUCAUAUUACGUGCUUGUAAACAAACCAUAAGGUGCAUGAACAAAUACAUGGUAAUUUUACCUGCUCUUCGCCUCUGAGAGAACAAAUUGCUAACUAGUAACAAAGGUUAAUGUCCUGAAGUCAAUAAUAAAAGGAUUGUUGCAAUACUGUAUUUUACAAAGUAAGGUUCUAAUAUCUUUCAUUUAGCUUUCUGUUCUUGCAUGUGUGGGUUGAUUUCCUUAGGUGGCAGCUGUAAAUGUAAAUCAUCUUUUGGUAUUCAUUUGUAGUGGAUUUGUACUGCAAUGAUCUCUGCAAAUGUGUAAAUAUUAAAUCAUUGUAUGCUUAUUCUUUGGGUGCAUGUUGAGAUGUUAAAUAAAAAUAUGACAAUUCAUCGUGUUUUUCUCCAAUUUGUAACCCUCUAAAACAGUUUGAUUCCCAGGAAAUUGACUUUUAUAUCAAUUCAAACAGAUUUCCAGGUUGCUUGCGGCAGUUUAUGUACUUUCUACUUCUGUUAAGUCUUUUAGUAUAGCACCUAGCAAAGCAAUCUCUGAGAGCCAAUGGGCAUCGUUCUUCCAUCAAGCUUCAAUUGGUACUCAUCUCAAUCAACACUUCUUUUCUUUCCCGUUGAAGAAGCAGAAAGCUGAACAUGAUGUGGAUUAUGAGGUAUGUGUUUUUUAGUUUAGUUUGCGUCAACAACUGAACUACAAGAAGUUUUUUCUUUGCCGUGCUUGGUCUGCAGUUUAAACCCCUAAUUGUUGCUGUGUGUUCUGCAUCAUGGUUGCAUGUAAUACUGGCAGCAUGAUCUCCUAGUGCCUUGCCAUUUUUUUUUUGUUCAAGGACUUUAGUAGUUGCUUAGAGUAAUGCAAGUGUUAGUAAAUGUAGGGGUUAGUUAUGAGUGAAUCUAUGUACUUAUUUAUGUAGGUAUUAUUUAUGCAAGGAUUAGUUAUUCCACCUUCUAUCCUUUAUAAAAUAAUGCAUAGAUUCCCUCAUAACUUAUACAUGUAUGAUGCAUUAGUUAUGUUGGUUUUUACAUUGUCAACCAAACGUCGUAUUAAUUUUAUACAUGAAUAACGUAUUUCCUAUCUACCUACCAAACGUCGUAUAAGUUGUACGAAAAUUAAUACAUGGAUAACAUGUUUCUUAUCCAGCUACAAACAACCCCUAAGUGGUAGGAAAGUGAGCUAAGCCUGAAUCUGAGUUAGGUUAACUUGAUAUAUUUUAAUGAAGUUGAAAUCUCUAGUCAGAAAUAAACAUACAACCUUUUUUUAUUGGAUUUUCCUCCGAAUCUAUCCACUUGUGUUUGUGACUAUGAGCGUCGACAACUAUCUUUUGCUGUGAUCAUUCUGCUAUAAUCAUGUUAUUGAUCAACAAUCACUAACCAAGCAUGUCAUCUUCUUUACCCUUCUCCCCUUGAAGCAAUAUUGUUUUAAGGAUUGGAUUCCUUGGGCAGAUCUUUUGGGAGUAUAAAAUCUUCUUUGAGGAUAGCAAACAGAGUAAUGAUAAAUCAGAUAGAAAAUGAGAUUAAUAACUGGGAAGAAAAGUCAGACCAAGGAAGCUCGCUUUUCUCCAAGGAAAAUGUUGAGCAGUACUCACAGAGUAAAUAAAAAAUUUAUGACUCUAAGGAGCAACCUUGGAUCCCUAAACAUAAACAUAGCAUUAUGUUCGUACCUCAAAAGACCGGAAAGGUAAAGUCUCAGCCAGCAAACAACAACAUAUACCCAGUGUAAUCCCUCAGUCAGAUCCAGCAAAGCUUCUACAAAAUCUCACUAAAGCCUAAAAGACAACCUACUAUUAAAUCUAAGUUUUUCUCUUACACAUAAGCUAAUAUUAUAGUUUUCCUUUGCACCGUGCUGGAUGCACUUAUAUCUAUGGAUUUGUCGUUUUCAGGGUUCAUGUUCUUCGAGCCAACCGUAUCUUAGUUCAGAAGAACUUAACAUGCUCAGGUAUUUCUUAGUCUUAGCUUGAAUUAAGCACCUUCACUAAGAAGAUGUGUUCAUUUCUGUUCUAUCUUCCUCCUCUUCUAAUGCAGGAUUGCACCUGAAUCAGUUGAAGAUCUUGAAGAUUUUGUUUCGAAAUUUUUUGAGAGCCUUCCUUCUUGUACAAUCGUCUGUCUUAGCUUGCUUGGACGCUCUGUUUCCAGUUUGUUGACUGAAUUGUUGCAUUCUCCAUACCCCAUUCAAUCAUGGGUUUUAUUAUCUCGCAUGAGCUCGAUUAGUCAGCCCAUCACUGUAAUUUUGCCGGUGCAUUCAAUCUUAAAUGGUAAUACAGUCUUACACUCUAAAUUGAACAGUAAAUUCAUGAAAGGUAUACAUAAAUUGUUCGUCUUUCAUGCCAUCAGAAGCUGCAGAUGAUGUUGCUGAAUUCACUUCCAGUUUUUCAUUUGAAGUCAAAGAUAAGCACUGGCAUUGCCCUUGGGUGUCCAGCAUGAUAGAUGAUGUGGCUCCAGUCUUUAGAGAUAUAUUAGAGAAUAAUUACUUAUCCUCUUCUGUACACCUAUUAGAAGAUACAACAGAGAGCAGAUCAUCAUGGUGGAAGUGGAGGAAACACCUUGAUAAGCGCCUUGCUAACUUUUUACGGUUAGUCUUAUUUAAAUAAUUCUUCAUCUACUUUUGUGUUCCAUGCAAAAGAUCAUUUCCCUCAAUGUGGAUGAUCUUCAAUACUGAAUUCUUGGAAUUUUGACUGUUUGAAAAGUUCAGUUGCAAGAUUGGUGUCGUGAUGAUGAUUUUGUAUAAUUGUUGAUGUCUUCACCUUUCCAUCUGGUAGUUAAGAGUGAAGUCACUGGAUGUGAUGCUUAUCAUUGCUAUCAUGAUGCCAAUUCACUUUCAAAUAACGUAUAUCAAAGUAUUAUAUAUUUUUAAUUUAUAUGCCUCAGGAAUCUAGAGGAUUCAUGGUUAGGUCCUUGGAGAUGCUUGCUUUUGGGGGAAUUGUCAGAAUGCGAGCUCCUGGAUUCACUAGUAAAGAAACUCUAUGAUCAUUUUAGACGUAAAGCUGGAGCAGAUGUUCAUGAAAGUCUUCUUAAAGUAAUUCUUGGAGGUGCGAAGUACGCUUGUGAGAAAGAAAAUUGCAUUUCUCAGAUGGUUAUAAAUAAAGGGUGUCACCUACAUGGAGGGUGUCAUGGAAACUCCAAAGUGUUAUUUAAGACAUCUACAGAAGUUGAAAGUCUCUGUGAUUCAGUAUACAAGUCUAUAAUUGAUGAAGCCCAAGAGAUAGAAGAGAUUGAAUCCAUGAGUAGAAGACCAGUUAUUCUUGUUUUGGAUCUUGAGGUGCAGGUGUGUUUACUUUUAUCUUUGCUUCCUGGUUAUUCUUUUAGUAUUUGUUGCUUGAAGAGUCUUGAUUCAACUUUGUGCUUCAUUAUGCCUGAAGUUCCUUAUAUAAAGUCCUCCCAUGCUUCAAGAAGUUGCAAUUUGGGAAAUGAUAGAUUUGUUAAAUAUUGCAAUUUGUUGUAUCGUGUAAGCCUAUACAUUGUGCAUAGUUACGCAGUUGUGCUGCAACUGUUUGAACUUCUCCAAGUUGGAAAAGUUUCUCUGCUAAUUGGCAAGAUUCUUUUUAAUUGUUCCCUAAUUGGCAAAAUUCUAGUAAACCUUUUUAAACAGAAGGUUUUGGUAAGAAAAAUAAUGACAACUUCUGCAGAUGCUUCCUUGGGAGAACCUACCGGUAUUAAGAAACCAGCAGGUUUAUCGCAUGCCUUCAGUUAGCAGCAUCAGAGCAACGCUGAUCAAGUGUUGCCAAGAUCAACAGCAAGUUAAUAAGGGGGGAUCUCCUAUGAAACAAGGGGUUCCAUCAUCACCUUCCAUUCCACUGAUUGAUCCACUGGAUUCCUAUUAUCUUUUGAAUCCAAGUGGAGAUCUCAGCAGUACACAGAGUGAAUUUGAAAACUGGUUCAGAGAUCAGGAUUUUGAGGUACUUCUCUACUUCACUCCUGGAAUUAGAACAGUAAAAGGAAGAAAACCCUUCGACUAAGUAUCACAUUUUACCUUUUCUGAACGUGCAUGUAUGUGAAAGGUUCAUCUAUAUAUAUACUCUACAAAAAUUAUGCUUUUUAUGUUUCUUCCCUUUUUUGUGAUUGCUAAAAGGGCCCUAUUAUCUUUUAUGAAUUUCAACUGAAAAUUGAGAUAUAUGUUUUCUUUAAAUGGGAGGAAUAACUAGCAAAAAGUAGUUUAUUUUAGUGGAAACUGCAGUGGUUCUAUUAUUUUAGUUUGUUUCCACUGAUAUAUACUAUCUUAUAACUAUGAAUAAUUAGGACAAAUAAUCUUAUUAGUCAAUCAGCCAACUAAUUUCACUGGGUAUGUUGUUGUUGCUCCCUUAAAAAACAAUAUAUAUACAUAUACGCAUAUAAUAUCAUGAACUAAGAAACAAUUCUGAAUUCAUAGUUGUUAACCAUGUCUUUCCCUUUAUUAAAAACUAGUAAAUGGGCCCACGCUUCGCGCGGUUAGAACAUUCUUGUUUUAAAUUUAUUAGAAUAGAAUUUUUCUUGUAUUUUGAUGUUAUAGUAUUUUUUAUAUAAAUCUAUUUUUAAGAGUAUAGAGGUUAUUCAAUUGUAGUUUAUCAUUUGUUUUAUUAAAAGAAAAUGCAAAAAUACAAAUCAUAACACUAUUUUCUCCUAGUUUAUAUAAUUUCAUUUUACAGAUUCAUUAAUUUGCUCUGGAAAUUUUACAAUGGUUAGUUUAUUUUUUUCAUCUAUAUGCAUGGUUACAUAGUGUCUUUAAUUAGAGAGUCAAGAAAAUAUUUUUCUCAAUUUUCUUCUUUGCAAAUUUUGUUAGUAUAACACUAUCUAAUUACUUUCAAAAUAUUAAAUAUUUUUUAAAAUAUAUAUAAAUAUAUAUAUAUAACUAAUGUGUUUAUCAAGAGCAAAGGUUUCAUAAUCAUAUGAUAUACCAAUAAGUAAUAUGUAGUUAUUAUGUGUUUUAAAAUUAAAAUGCUACCCUUCGGGGUGGCCCAGUGGUUUGGGCUUGGGACUUCCAUGUUGGAGGUCUCAAGUUCGAAACCCCUUGCCAGCGAAAGCAAGGCGUUUUGCCUUUUGGGGUCCGAGCUCGUCGCACCAGGCUUGCCUGGUGCGGGUUACUUUUCCUAUGUGGUUUGCGAGCUAUUGCAUAGGAGCGGGGGGUUUUUACCCCUGUGCGCACCCAAAGGGUAGCGGCUGCGGGUUUCCCUUGUCAUCAAAAAAAAUAAUUAAAAUGCUAUCUUCCAAAUUAAAAUUUCAUAUGUAAUAUAGUUAUGAUAGUAUUUUGGAAUUGAAGUUGUGCACAAACAAAACAUUAAGGAUCCUUUAAAAGGGUGAAAGAGAAGUAAGGCAUAAUGGAAAAAUAAGUUCAAAAAAAUACUUUGGUGCGAGAGAAUAGUCAUCAUUGUGUAUCAUACAAUUGUAAUCAAUUGCUAGUUUUAAUUCUAUCAUUUGACUUUCUAUAUUUUUUUUACUCCUGUUAAUAUUAACAUUAUUAUGACAACAAACAAAAAUCAUAUAAUUUUUUAGGCUUGAUCUCUUGGAGAAGAAAAGUUUUCUUUGGAAAAUGUUGUACAGAAAUGUAUUAUGUAAAAAGUUAUUUGUGAAUCUGCUGUAGUUGGAUUUACAUAGAGUCUAUACUAACAAAUACUUAUAACAAUAAUUUUACAGAAACAUAAACAACAAAGUUCAAAACAUGUACUCAAAAACAAAAAUUAAUAUCACAAGCAUAAAUUAAUGACUGUAAAAAAAUAUACCAGGAUCUGUAAUAAUAUAAUGAAACAGAAAGGAAAAAUCGAGCCCACUGAAUGCACAAUGUCUCCUUAAGGAAAUCAUUUCCUCUAGUACCCGUGGUUUAAAAAAAUAGAUCCUCUCAGGAUGAAACAAUUUUAUUCAUCAGUGUAAUGAUACAAAAACAAUAGUGUCAGUGAUCCACUCAAGAAGAGCAAAGUACACAAUUAUUUAAUUGUGCAAAAGAAGAAGAAGAAGUUCAUAAUCAAAUAUUUAAUUGUGCAGAAGAAGAAGAAGUAGUAGUUAAGAAUUUUCGUUGUUUUAAAAUGAGAGGAAACCCCUCUAUUUAUAGACAAUAAAGGUUAGUGUGAAACAUUAAUAAUGUAAAGGAAAAUGAAAAUUAUUACAUCUUAUCAUUUAUCUUUAAUAACAUAAGCAUAAAUAAAUGAUUAUAAAAAUACAUACCAGGAUCUGUAACAUAAACAAUGGUGUUAGUGAGCCACUCAACAGGAGCAAGUACACAAAUAUUUAAUUGUGAAGAAGAAGAAGAAGAGGUUCAGAAUUUUUGUAUAUAUAUAUAUGAUAUAUGAUAUGAUGAGCAUUAUUAUCUCAUCUGCAAAAUCCCAAGUGGCUCUAGUAAUAUUUGGAGUGUAUAACCAUAAUGUGAUUUGUCACAUGCCCCUUCCUAGGAUAUGUUAAACAAAAGCAUUUAACUUCGUUGUGCAGGGGAAGUGUGGAACUGCACCAGCUGUAGAAGAAUUAGCCGAGGCAUUGAGGAGUCAUGAUCUUUUUAUUUACUUCGGCCACGGAAGCGGUACACUCAAAUUUAAACUGAUUGACGAUAUUAUCAUGGUUCAUUAGUUUUUACUAAAUAUUGCCUACACGCUCCUUUAGGAAUAACAUAUGUUGCUAUGCUGGUAUUUCAGGAGCACAAUAUAUCCCCGAGCAUGAGGUGAAAAAACUAGAGAGUUGUGCUGCUACUCUGCUUAUGGGGUGCAGCAGCGGAUCACUGUAUCUGCAUGGAUGUUAUGCUCCUCGAGGUGCUCCCCUGUGCUAUCUAUUCGCAGGUUCACCAGUUAUAGUAGCUAAUUUAUGGGAAGUGACAGACAAGGAUAUUGACAGAUUUGGGAAGAGCAUGCUUGAUGCUAUUUUGAGAGAGAGAUCAAAUGUUUCAUUUAGGUGUGAUCAAUGUGAUACACUUUCAGAUAAACUUGAGUCCUUAAAAAUUAGUAAUAGAAAAAGAAGUGAAAGGGUAAAGACAAAGAAAGAUACAACAGCUGAUAUGUAUAAUAACAAUAUAUCUACUAACCACUGUAACCAUAGACCAAAGAUUGGAUCAUUCAUGGGGCAAGCUCGAGAGGCAUGCACUCUCCCUUUUUUGAUUGGAGCAGCCCCAGUUUGUUAUGGUGUCCCCACAGGAAUAAUAAGCAAAAAAGAUUUGUAGUAUUAUUAUGGCAUUGUUAUGUAUAUGAUAAUGUUCACACUUAUUCUUUAUUGCUUGUACAAUCUCUUAUCAUUUUAAAUAUUCACAUUACCAUUGUAAAUGUAAUCAGUGUCAAUUACACUGGGAAAACGUUCAAAUAUUUGAUUGACUAGAUAAAUAGCAAUCACCUAGUUAUUAUGAUAGGAUAUUAUACAUGCUUAGAAAUUUAUUUUGCGGUUACCUGUUGAACCAACACAAUGCUGGAACUAGUCAAAUCAGUUUGGAACGCGAAUUUGAUUCAGAUUUUAAUGUCAUUAAUAUCCAACUUUCUGCUAAAAUAGCAUUUUCCCCAAAUGGCCCUAAGCAAACACCAAUCCAGAUCAAUCCUCCAGUGCAGGUACUGGAUGGUGAACCAAAAUCAGUUGUUAUGUGGGUCUUAAAUGGUGUAAAUAUGGAUUAUGUGGCACAAAACAGUUCACUAUUCUAAUUAUGUGAACAGGGAAAACUGUCUUUUGCUUUUGCUGUUUUGAACCAUCCAAGCAGACGACGAUAUUAGCAGCUUAAGGCCCAAUCUCCUCUGGGAGCAAGGAAAAGCAACUCCGCAUGGAAUUGGUAAUUAAAAUAUAUAUACAUUUAUUUGAGAGAGAGGUUAUCCUUAAAAGAACAAAGAGUGGCCGAGCUAAAAAAGCAAGGGAAGGGAUAAAAAAGUACCCAGUCUACCAGAAAAUUAUUCUCUUCACAUGUCCACAAUUCAACUUCAUAUAACCGUUUCAACUACUGGGGCUAGAGACAUGCUCUUGCCUAGUCUGGUUUAUAGAAGAGAAACAACUCCAGAUCUAAAUAACAUUCAUACAAGUUGAAAUGGUGAAAAGGUGAACAAGAUAUGAAAAAUGUACAUCAGAAAUUGCAUUAAUACAAGAAUUGACAGAUAAAUGUUCAAAAGACAGAAUAAGGAAAUUACAAACUACAAAUCACAGUGAAACUGAGCUUUCUUCAAGUGCCCGCCAAUAUUUCUGAGCCAUCCUACAAUCUACCAUGUAUCAAACAUCAAUCUGAGGCAGAUGUGCAUGAGAAUGUUAGAGCACAGUUAAAUCCUAGACUAAGACCUAUAAUUAUUUCUUUUUUCACAAUUUCAAACAUACACAAAUUACAUCUAUCUCCGACCUGCGUUGGCCUCUCUACGUCUUCGUCUCCUCCCAGAGCGACCCAAGAGGACUCUACCUUCACGACGAAGACGCCCAACUAGUGACAUACCACUAUCAUCAUUAUCGUCCCCACUAUUGUCACUGUCAUCAUCAGAGUACUCGAAACCACCAAUUGGGAGGUUUCGGUCAACUCCACCAGCACCUCUAUCCAAAGUAUCACUUAUGUCUCUCUCGUGCCGCCUCAUAACCCGAUUUGACCCAAUAUUCCCUGCUGAACCAAAAGCCUGCAAAAACAGAAACACAUUCAUCAAGUUGCGAUCGAUGCCCAUUCCAAAACCUUCAUUCCCAUUCAUCAUCUCAUUCGCAUCAAAACCCUCUUCAUCAUCUGAAUCAAAACCAUAAUGACUUCCUUCUAUCACAUAAUCACCAAAAACCACAGCCCCUGGCAUAGAAGAAGUUAUAGUGCUGAUAACAUCAUCCCUCUCUCGUUCCCUCUCAAGCCUUGUCCAUUUUUGUUCAAGAAGAGGAUCUACCUCACGUGGUCUAGCACAGGGGUGCUCUGCCUUAACAUGUUUUCGUAUCUCCUUGUAGCUUCCAACAAACGAGCAAUCAUCCUGCAUGCAGCUACGCUUCUUUGAAUUUAGAUAUUCUCUAGCAGGUUCAACCACAGUCCAUCCCUUCACCUGGCCUCUACAUAGUGGGCAAGCAACUUCUGAGACCUCGCUUUUCUCAGAAGGCCAAGUAGAAAAUGGUUCAGCAGUUGGAGUAUCAUUAUCACCCUGCACAGGUUGAUUAUUAUCUGGCAGUAUUGCUUUAGUGUAGGCUUUCUUGUACUGAUCGAGGCAGUUAGAAUAGCGCAAGCUAGUUCCACACAUGUAGGGGCGGCAACCUUUGUCAUGAGAGGAACACAGGAGAAGCACAGCGUUAUGGGGAUAUUCCAUGCAUACAGAACAUGUUGCAUCUUCCCAGUCUUUCUUCUCAAAGAUUUUAGAGCAUUUCUUUUGGUGAACAAGUUCAGAAUGGUUAGCAGAUGGCAAAGGGUAUGGGGUGGCCCUGCAUCGUCGAGAACCAUUCCUACGUCGUCCUGUGGUCCCUUUCGCCAUUUCCUAAACAGAUCUGCAUGAAUAGAACAUCAAUAAUUUAGCAUGAUUGCAUUAAAUUAGAAAGAGAGAGCAGUCACAUCCGUUAUCUGAGGAUCAAGAAGGAAAGAAGAGUAGGAUAGACCUUUCGCGAGAGAGUAAAAGAGGAAAUAAUAAGGGGUGUUAGAUCCAUCACUAAACUGCAGGAUAAAGAGCCCUAUGCUAAUAAAGAGAUCAUGCAGCCUGGUAAUUCAAUACUACAUCAUACCAGUCCACUAUGACCUCAAUCCCAAAGUAUUUGGGCUUAGCUAUAUGAUUACUUUGUAUCAAUUAAGCUCUAUCUGAAGCUAAUAUUCAGAGCAUAGUCAAAUUUCACAAUGACUUGAUUACAAAAAUAAAGUUUUAUAAAUUAAAUCUAGUCAAAAAGCAACUUAGACCUAUCUUUUAGAAUUAUGAGUCGGCAUACCUGGGUAAUUGCCCAUAAUAUGUUGGUAAGUAAAAAUACUUGACAUGCAUUCAGACCAACUAUAUGAGAAUGAUUAGAGGCAUCAGGAGAGUAACCCCCUGGGCCUAUUCUCCCUGAUGAAAAAAACUAGGAAUGGCAAAUACAUUUAAUUGAAUUUGAUCACAGAAGAGUGAAGAUAAGGAAAAAACUUAGGAAAUGAAAUAAAGCAACCCAGCUGUUACUAUCCUUCAUUCCCUGUCAUCCUAUCUGUUUCUUUUUACUUUAUGCUCAGGAGUCAUCAACUUAAAAUUCUCGAAUUCCACCCUAAAAUAAAAGUGUAGUGAAGGAUUCAAAACCAAGUCAAGACCAAGGAAAAAAAACAGCUCCAUGCCAAAAAGACAAAACAGCGGCAGACAGAGCGGAGAACUUCCAUUCGCAUCAGGACAAAUAUAGACUUCCUCAACAUGCACAGAAAGUCAAUCCAACUCAAAGAGGAAUUGUCUCUGAUGGUAUAUUAUCCCACACACACACCACCACCACCACCACCACCACAUGAAUUAUGGGAGGACCUCACUAGUCAAUUCCCUGUACUUCCAAUUAUAUGUGAAGCUAGCACAUACUUUAAGAAAGAAAUAAAACCUUUGAACUUGUGACCUUAAACAUGCCCUAACAUUUGUGUGGCUAUACGACUUUACCAACUUGUGGUCUUAAACAUGUCAUAACAUUUGUUUGGCUAUAAAAACUUCUCAUUAAGGGUAACACGGAAAUUUAAAUCAAAGUGUUUCCAAAUUUAGGGAGGGGACAUUCUUUUUUAAGCGGACUAAAGAGGAAAUAUGUUCACUGUUCACAUAAAUUAAAAAAGAGGGAGUAGCUAAUAUGUAAAAAUAUACAUAUGCCUGUGUGUAAAAAUAAGACCCUGAUCAGCAAUUAUUGAAAAGCUAACAUGCGACGCCUAAAUGUUCAACCCAUUUGCUGCAACUCAAUAAAUCUUCAUCUUUCAGAAAGGAAAAAAAGAAAUAUUUCUACACCUCUCAAGCAAAUGUCAGCUCCUAGCAUAAAAUUGGAACUCUUAAAGCUACAGAUCUGAUCAUAAGAGAACUGCCCCCCUGAUUCUAGCUCAAACGCCAACAAAUCACACACUCAUUAAAUAGUCUGAUCAAUUGAAUUAUAACAAUGAUAAUCAGACUAACAUAAAAAGUAAGACCAGAUGAGGAGGGAAAAAUGAAGAAUUUAGAAUUGGGGAAUCCAGGCACUGUUAAGAGCCAUAGGAACACCUCUUAUCAAAAUCAAAAAGAUGAUCAGACCACCCAAUCACAUUGAAAUAUACCAAAGACAAGACGUUACCCGUACACAUAAAGAUCAAAUUUUGCAUUAGCUUAGACAGAAUCCUCUUAGAAAAUUGUAAUUCAGAUGAACAACCAGCCCAUUUGACCUCCAUCCAUCGUUUCCCCAGAAAAAUCAAUCAACAACCCAGUUGGGAAAAACACCUCACAACAACAGAUAUCCAAACACCAAGAAUGAAGACAUAUUCACAUUAUACAGACCAUCAAGCUAAAUUGAUCAAAAAAGAAAAGGUAAAGACUCAUACCCACCUUGAGUUUAGAGCGAAUCUGGAUCCAAAAAAUGAUAAUUGUGAGCAGCAAAAAAGUACACGCUAUCUAUCUAUAUAUAUACACCCCGAUAGAAUUCAACUCCCACCUAUCUACCUACUACUUAAGCAAAGACAGGUUCAGAAAAUGCAUCUAAUACACGAAACAACGUGCCCCAGCAGAACAAAAUCACGCGAGAAUACAGAUAACAAAAUGAAUAAAUUAAUAGCAAUAAUUCAAAAGCUCAGUACAGCAAACAAUUAUUUAAAUAACAUAAAAACAAAGCCAAGCACAUGACUCUCCUUGACCUUUUCUAAUCACCCCCAUCAAUCUCAGAUUCACCAUUAAUUUUAUCCAAUUAUCAAAUCCAUCAAUUGUCCCAUUAUCCCCAUAUAUCCCACAAUCACCAAACCUCAGAAAAUCAUAAAAAUAAACAAAAAAAAUACAUCAUUCUUACCGGGAAAAAAACCGAAUUGAUUAAAACUGGAGUAUGAAUGAAUAGGCAACAAAAAGGAAGGACGCUUAAAGGUGAAAGAAAGAGAUAGAAAGCUAGGGUUUUCUCGUAAAAAGGAGAGAGAUCUGUGAGGGAAUUCACUUUAGAGCGCAGGCAUUGAAAAAUGAAAUAGAAAAAAUUUGGGGAUUUUGGAUUUGGAGGAGAGAGAAAGUAAAAAAGCGAAAAAGAAGGGGAAAUGGUAGAGAGAGAAAAUUCAUGGGAUUCGUGGAGUCAUUUCUACGCUACUCUUUUUCUCCUCUCGACGGCAGUUAGGUGGCGGUUUCACUCGCGCCUCGGAAACUGAUAUUCACGCGACCAUUAUUUUCUAUAUGUGAUUUACAUCUUUUUAUGAUAGCUUCCUAAUUUUUUUUAUUUUCUUGUAAAAUAUUGAAAUGAUUCUUUUAAAAUAAAUAAAUUGAUGAGGUCAAAAUUAAAAUAAAAAUAUUGAAAAAGAAUACGAAUAAUCACGAUUUCAAGACCUUAAAUGUGAAAUUGUGAAAGAUGAUAAUAAUGGUCAGGAUCAUGAUAAGCAUUAAUAACGAUGGUAAUUUUAUCACCCAUAACCAUUAAUAAUGAUAAUGAUAAACGAAAUAGUUUGACUUUGUUGGGAAAAUAGCACAAAAUAAAGAGAGAUCAAAUAAUUAUUAAGUUGUUAGUUUGUCUUUCUUUAUCUGAUUUUUCACUUUAAUGGUUUUGAAUAUGUCUAUCAAAUUACAUAAAAAAAAUUAAAAUUUGUGAUCUAAAAUAAAUAAAAUAUAUUAAUAUUUUUUUUAUACUAACUAAAUAAAUCAUAUAAAUUGAAACGAAAGGAGUACGUGAUUAAUAGUAAAUCACCAAAAGUUUGCAUUUAGUUUAUUAGUGGAGAGUGAAGGCCACACGUGAUGAGUGGUUAGAUUAUUGGUGUUGCCAUUUGUUUGAGACGUGAGGUGUUUCAUCAAACAUUGGGAAUCGUGACUACUAGGCUAAAUGACACGUCAGCUUUAAUUUUCCGGAGGUACUAAAGCAUAUUCUUAUUUUAAUAUUUUCUCACAUUUUUCGAGAAAAAAAUCAGAUGAAAUUAACAAUUUUAAAUAGCACAACUAAGUGCUCCUUUCCUUACGUUGGUCUAAUUUGAUUUGACACAAAGUUUAAGAAAAUAAAAAAAACUUUUAAAUUUUAUGGUCCUAAAUUAAAGUUAUGUCAAAUAUACAAAAUUGUACUUUAAUCUUGUGGUCUUAAACAUACCACGUGAAAAGUUGAAAUUAAAAUGUUACCAAAAAAGAAAAAGGUCAUUUUUUUUUAAACAGACUAAAAAAGAAAUAAGAUCAUUCUUUUUUAAACGAAGGGAGUAAUAAUUUUUGUGUAACUUUUGUACCAAGACAAAUAAAAAACAUCAAAAACUGUAUGUUCUUUAAACUUGUACGAGAAAAUCAAUUCUUUAUUAUACAUUAUUCAUUUUACAAAAUUAUAAAAUAAUUUAGCUUUGUUGUAUGGCUAUAAAAAAAUCUUCAAAUGAUAAUGCAAGAUGUUGUGGUGUAAUAGUGGAAGAUGAUAUAUUUCUGCAACAAACAAAUUCAUAAUAGAAAAAUAAAAUCUAAAACCUCCAUUUUUCAAAAAAAAAAUUCCAAAGACUGAUGGAAAUGUAUUUGAAACCAAAAGGCUCAUUCCAUUUUUAUAUAUUUGGGGUAAUUUCAAAAACAUCGAUUUAAAGUGUUGAUUAAUUAUUCACUUUUUUUGUGGUUUAUAAUAUUACGUCUUACUUAUGUAUUGGGCGAUUAUUUCAUUAUCAAAUAGAAAGCCAGUCUAUUUUGUUCACUUCCUCUCUUUUUUUCCAACUUAGGCACAAUAUGUCAAAACAUAAACAUCAAAAACUAGGUUAGUCAUAUAAUAUACUUCCUUAAUUCAACAAAAUUUUGGUUUAAUCAAUCGGCAUUCAAGACCUAUUUAUCUAAUCAAUUUAUAUAUGUAUUGUGUAAAGUUCACUUAGAAUAAGUGUUUCUCAUCAAAAUUUUAAUCAAAAAAAUCAUUUAUCAGAUCUGAUUUCUCAUUUUAUUUUGUUUUAUUUGUCUCUUAUCAACUAGGCCAUUCUAGUCCCAAGUUCCAUCUAAUAUGGAAAAACUUGUUUCAAUUAAAAUUUAGUUGGAAAUGUAGAUUGAUCUAAAACAUUAUGGAAGAGUAAAGAGAUAAAGGAAGAAUAGAGUCUAGAAUUCUAGAGGUUUCCUACUUGAGUAGGGUUAUUUAUUACUAUCUCAUGGGCAAGAGGUAGCAAUACUAUUUGCUAAACAAACAUUUGUUCAUAAAUUUUGGAUUAAAUUUUAAAAAAUUAUCUUUCAAUAUUUGUUGGAUUAUGAAAUUUGAUCAAUUUUUUGAAAACUUGAUCUUCAAAUAUUAUUAGUCAGAUUUUACUCACAGAACUUAAGAUUUUAUUCAAGUAAAAUGCAUGCCUAAAAACAACUUCAAAUUUCAAAAAUUACAACUCCAAUAACUCAAUUUUUACGAGAAUUAAAAGGUGAAUAUUGUCGAAUUUAGAAGAUAAUUUUACCUAAUAUCUGAUACACAUCCACAAUGACGACAUACUUACACACGUAUAAUUUAGUUUAAUUCAACUAUAUAGAUUAUUAAUUUACAAGUAAUACUUAAUGAGGUGGAUCACGUACGCUUUACAUUGCGUAAUUAAAAAGAAUUAUACUUUAUUAGCUUGGGAGAUUUAUUUAUUUUUCAGUAAUUAUCUUACGAGAUCGUGCAUGUAAAUAUAUCUCAAUUCGAGAAUAGUAAUGAUCAAGAAAAAAAAUCAAAGAUUUAAUUGACUUUAUAUGCCAAGGCGUAAAGAAAUAUCACGAAAUAUACAAGUUUUAAAAUCAACUAAUUAAUGAAUUGUUGUAUUCCGGUUGAUCCAUAACAGUAUAUGUAUUUUAAAAUCUUUUACACCUCCUCCAAAAAAGAUAUUUAAUAGUACAAUAGCAUUUACUACAAGAUUAUUAUCUAUUAUCUUUAAUUCAUCCUUAAUUUAAUAUCUCACUAAAUUAUUACUCUAUUAAUUAGAGCAGUAAUGGUAGAUAUGAAUAAUAAAUAAUUUCUUAUUCAACUUUAAAAAUUGUUAAACAAAUUCGAUUUAUCAAAACGACUAUUAUUAUCUAAAGAAAAGCUUCCUUUUUUCUUGCAAAGAAAACAAUAGGACAGAACUUGAAACCCAGAGGUUUUCAGCUCCUUAUUCUUAUGGGUUUGUUUUAUUAAAUUAUCUUGAUUAGUUAUAUUUUAAAUAAUCAAUGGAAAGGAUAAAAAAUCUCUUUUAAUUUGUUAAAAUAGACAAGUUAACAAAAGAAGGAAGAAGUAUUUUGCAAGACUAAAUAAAAAAAGGUACACUUGAUAUUCCAAUAGACAAAGUUAUCUACAAAACCAACUAAUAUCUCUAACCAAUUAUGGAAUAAAACAAUCCUACAUUUUAUUUCGAUAUUAUUGUUCCUUGUCCCAAUACCAAACGAAAGAUCAUUUUUUGGCUAAACAGAUAGGGUUGGCUUUGUUCCAUCUUUUGUGGGUUAAUUAAUCUGUUAACUGUCAAACUAUGCAGGUUUACAGAUGAGGGACUGGAAUGGAUCACCACCCCCUAUAUUAAAGCAUAUAAUUUAGGUCACAUGCCCAUGUUAGUAGCCUAGCCUGUCACAAUCCUAUUCUUUAUAGGAAUAAAAUUACAUCAUCAACUCACAUGAACUUUGCUUUCAUCUUUAAGCAAUCACAGCUAACUAUGGAGGAAAAAAGAAAUAGAAUCUACAAAAGUAUGAAGCUGGCCAAAUCAUUUGCCAAUACAAAAAAAAAGAGAAAGGAGCGAGCUCAAUAUUUUUUCACCUAAAUACAUAAAUGAAAUGUUAAAAGAGAAAAACAAGUUGUUAAAGUAACAGGCUAACAGCCAUAGAUAUCACAGCAGUAGAGAGAAGCUCAGUUCAAAAGGAAAAUUGAGAAGAAAAAAUAAAGAGACAAUGUGGGGGAGUAGAGGGGCAAAUGGAACAACCGAACAAGCAUAUAUUUUUUAGGCUCUCCUAAUUGAUGUUACAAUACCCUCCUAAGGGAUAUAUUAGUAAUCCUAGGGACCUUUGGGGGGGUCAUCUCCAGGCAGGUCAUCUUCAUCAUGGUAGAUGUUUUCAGCCAUCUGCCAAAUUUGUAGUAUAUUAUCCUCAGCAACACUAGCAACGACCCAAUCUUCACAUGGGUUCCAUGAGAAGUCUGAAAUUUUACUUGUAUGGCCACCAUGAAUAAAGAGCAACUCUGGUGGUCCAUCUUCUGCAUCUUCUGGAGUUUGUUCCUCAUCGAUCCUACACCAAAUUUAAAAAAAAAGUGAAAUUUCAGGUUUACUGCAGCCUGCAGAUCUUAAAGGGAACAUUAUAUAUAAAACCUCUAGUGAUUCAUGUGAAUCAUCUAAAAAAAAUCCCAUGUAACGCCAUACAAAGGCAUUCAAGCCUAGACGUUAAAUGUAUCACUGAGCAGAAAUGGCUUUUUUUUACACAAGAAAAUAUCAUGGUUAAACUAGUUUUUCUAAAGUUCCGUUUAAAGUACAUGGUUUCAAAUCCUCAACGCAAUGAUAUCUAUAAUGUCAAAGUCCAACUUCUAUACGACAAGUUGUCACAAAGCAAAAACAAUGGAUUGGAUACCACCCAACAAUUCAGUGAAUAAGUGCAAUCCCAGAUACUGAGACUUGGAUCAGAAACUCAGAUUCAGACCACAUGAUAAUACAAUUGUACAUCUGGAUUAUCAUGUGUACAAAUCAACAUGGAACUUCAAUUCUACACUUGCCAGUACUCAGUAGAGCAUAUGAUGUAGUCAUUUUCACAUGCUAGGACAAUUCAGUACAAUAUAGACUCAAACACACAACAGAAUGAGCCUAUUUCAGAGUUCCAAAUCCACAUGUUGAGUCAGGUGACAAAGUUGCAACCUAUAAAGGAAGUGACAAAAUACUAAUUUAGGACUAAAAGGUGUUUUUCCAAAUAAAUGAGCAGAAGCAGACAAUGAAAUGGCAUAGCUUUUUUCCCACUUUUGUAUGAGGUGGUUUUCUAAGGAGUACAGGGGCUUGACGCCCUGUGGGAGAAGAGGGAAGGAAUAGAGAUGAUAAAUCCCAACUAUAGGUGAACUAUAGCUGGCAAGAUAAGGCAGGUGUUAACGUAUAGAUAGAAUAACUAAAAUUCAAAACAUCAAAGAGCAAGACAGAAUAAAAGCACCCACUGGACCGACAGAACAUUCACUCUGAUAUCAUGAAAAUACUAGUAAGGAUAGCUGGAAGAGUAACCUGCUGAGAUCCCAAACCAUGAGUCUCCUACCAAGGCAACAAGAAGCUAAAAUGGUUUCAUUCUUCGGAUUCCAACCAACCUGGAAAACUUCCUCUCUGUAGAAAAGUUACAAGGAAAUUAAUGAUAAGCAACUGUAAAUACAGAUGUACAAGCUUCUAUUAUACUAUUUAACAUGAAUGAUGAUGGAGCCAACAUUUUCCACAAAAGUAUAUGUAAGGAAGACAUCUUACUUGUGACAAUCCAAAGUAUGAAGUGCAGUAGAAAUCUUGCGUAGAUCAAAUAAUUUAACUGUCUUGUCUGUAGACCCUGUUGCUACAACCCAUUCAUUAAAGGGGUUGAAAGCUAAGCAGUUAACCUGAUCAAAAGAGAAAGGAGGUCAAUCAUGCAGAAUCAUGAACACAAACAUGCUUGUUUACGAAUACUAAAAUCUAGCUAACUGCAUUAAGAAAUGUUUUUCAUUUAAUAGGCAAUGUGCAGUAGUGAUCAUCCUUCUAUGAUUUUGUACAUCUAAUAAUCAGCAUAGAGUAUGGAAGGCAGGACCUUCUCCUUAAGCCAUUUAAAGUCAAAAUUCACAAACAUAGGGAAGCAAUCAAAAUCGAAUAUCUAUUAAAAUAGAUCAUAUGUUAUUUCAAAGAAUAUUUGGUUAAUAGCAUGCACCUAAAGUCAACACAACAGAGUGGAAAAAGCAUAUCAUAGGGUUUAUUUCAAGGUGUGUUAUGUGAAAACUAGAUCAACUGAUUCUACAGUGUGCUAGGUGGGGAAGGAGAUAUAGAGCUAAUGGAGCAACAUGAGGCACCACACUAUAAAACGAAACAAAAAUUCAUCCAGACAUGAACAUCACAUCAUAGUUUUCACACAGCAAUACUACUUGUUUGCACAUUCCAAUAUUGUAAACCCACAAAUGUGAAUAAAAAAAGUGCGGGUAAAAAUUGGAAAACACAAAUUCUAGUUUUAAGAAAAACUGUAAUUAUUUUGUAAGCACGAGAUUCUCACAUUCCAUGCAAGAAAAUCAAAAAACUGCCAACUAUGUUAAUAAGACAUAUCUGAGUGGUUCCUCCACUAGUCAAAAGGAAAGCAUUAUUAACUACAUAAACGUGGAAAAGUGCAGCUAAGAAGUCUAAGCCGCACCUCACUUUGAUGUGCAACUACAGAUUGUAUAGGCUUGGUUACUGAUGGAGUUCGCAGAUCCCAGACGUGCAGAUACUGAUCAUCCCCAACAGAGCCAAAUAAAUACUCAUGCCUCAGAUGCCAAGCUACAUCCUCAACAACACCUUCAUGAACCUACACAUUUUAAAUAUUAGAAUAAACCAAGAAAAGCUGACAAAAACUUAAUGAGAAAAUAAUCCGAGAGACAAGAUUCUUGUCCAUGCUAGGUAGACUGAAGCUUCAGACAGCAAAUAGUAGACAUGACGUGACCAAAAAUAUCAUUUGAGGUAAAAGUUGGGACACUAUUGAAGUUUCAGUUUAACUUUUGUAACAUGAUAUUAAUAAAGAGAUCUCAUGCUGUUCUGCUUCACUUGAUCUUUUUUUACUUUGAGGUGCCUGGGGGUGUUUGCUGGAAGGGAAAGCAUGCAAGUUCUUCUCCAUUUAUCAAUCAUAGUUAUUUGCACAAGAUAAAACUACAAGUAGUAAGCAGGUGCAACAAAUUGAUAAUGAUAUGCAGUGUAACAUGGCAGUAUCUAUCCAGUGCAGACUCGUGAAAAAACACCAGGCAAACCUUAAAUAUCUGCAUAGCCUCUAGAGCCUUAUUUUUGGGAGUGGCAUUAAUGUCCCAUAAACAUAUAUGUGCGUCAUCUGAACCACUCAAUAAAUGACCCUGCUUAAAUUGACUCCAAGACAAACCGUAGCCCUCUGUACUGUGGCCUCUUAACCUCAAAUCUGGAUUGCAUGCACCAUCUAGAGGAGGCUUAGAUGGAUGUUUACUGUAGUCAAAAACAUAUACUUCAGCACUAACUGUCUUAGUUGCAAUGAUAAAUGGGUUUUGGGGCAUAUAUCGAGCCCGAUUAACCUCUCCAUCAUGAUUUAUUUGCUGGAUUAUUUGUACCUGAAAGAGAAAUAUUUAUCAUUAUACAUAAACCACUCAAUGUUGAAACAGAGACAAGAAGUUCACUCUGAUAUUAUGGGGAAAUAGUAGUACAGCAAAAAGAUAUCAGAAUAAGGCCUCCAAGUGAUAAUUGGCAAUGACAGACCAUUUUAAAAAUCUUUUUUUAGAGAAUAAGAUUUUACAGUUCCAUGCCCUCAUCAUAAAUAGAAGAAUUCAUUAUCAACUUUCCACUGAAUCUAUAUGUGGAUAGUACCUUUUAUAACAGUGACAUCAAUCUACACUAAAAGGAGAUAGUAUUCUCAUAAGCUUUUCGAAGUUCUAGCUGGCUAUUCAAACUUCAUCAGUUUUCUCCUGCAAAAAUGUUGCUUCCAAUCAUCUUUGCAUUCAGAUGAGUGGAGCAACUUAACCAGUAGUUUUUGAACUCUAACCAAAUCCGGAAGCAUUGGCUUUGUUACAAACCAUUCCAAGCAUCAUUAUUCAUAUGAUAUAACAGCCUCAAGUGUCCUUUCAGAAGAUAACAUUUCAACAAUAUCAUGACUCAGAAAGAAGAGGACUAAUAAAAACUACAACGCAUAAAAUUUCAAUAAGAACAUGUCAGUCAAAGAGUUCACUCUGCCCAAAGGGAUUGCCCUAUUAGGUGCCCUUAUUUGGUGCUGCGGUGAGUCGGAAAAUGUUGCACUAAUUAUGCUAGGCCCCCUUUUUUUUCCUUUGGUGAUUUUUUUGAUGAAAUUUUAACUGUACCUUAAGCAAAAUCCAGGAAUUGAACUGACAACUUUCAAUUCACUACUCCCUAGUACCUAAGCUGCGAAGGAGAAAACUUUGAGCCAAAGGUCUUAUCAGAAACAACCUCUCAAACUCCACAAGGUAGGGGUAAGUCUGAGUACACACUACAGACUCUGGGACUACACUGGUUAUAGUGUUGUUGAUAAAACUUUAAACCACAUAGUAUAUAGCAUAAUCCCAAAGCUAUCAAAAUUCAAUAGAUUCUUAAACAGGCAGUCCUAGAACAACUAAACUCUAGUACAAAACAAGUAAAUCUCAGACCUUCAAACUAAAAUUAGCCAGAAAAAUGUAGUAACAAUAAAGCAUCCAAAAACAUUCAGAAAAGCAGAAAAUGAAAACCCAUAUAAAACAGUCAAGCAAGGCAUAAAACAGAAUAGAUUCAAACCUUGCCAUUGGCACAACCAAAUCCGCCAAAUUCAGACCGAUCAUCAUCAUAGUGUCGGGCAUCAUUCUCAGCAUCCUCAAGAGGAAGCUGAACCUGAGCAAGCAUGAGAUAAUUGGGCUCAUUUUCCGAUGUAUGAGUCCCCAAAAUCAUCUUCUGAACGGAAUAAUCCUUUCCGGACGGUUCUUCCCGGUCCGGUAACCAUUCGACGGUGAGCGAAGGCCAUUCAAGCGCGUGAGUAAUAACCAGAUCGUAAAGAAAAGGUGUAUUCUUCUUCCAAAUCUUGUACUCCUCGUUUAUCAGCCUCUCCUCAAUUUCACCCCUCAUCUCAUCUUCGUCUUUCCCCAUUAAACAAUUUCAAGAACUGCCUUAAGAUUUUUCUUCUUCUGUUUUGAGUGUGUGAGGGUUUGGGUUUUGUGGAGUUUUGGGGAUUUUUACGAGGGUUUGUAGAGAUUUGGAGGGAACGGUAUUUUCCAGUGGAUUUUCUUUUCUUUUUCUUUUUUUGCGGGAUAUGUGGAUAUCUAAAAGGGUUUUAUAUUACGACGAGAUUGGGCUGUGACCCGAAUUACAAGUCGGUUAGAUUUGCAGGUGUCUUUACAUAAAUAGCCGCCAAGUUUAUCUUCUAGCCAGUAAAUAUAAAUUAUACUCCUCGGUUCACUUUUACUUAUCAACUACUAUUUAACGAUGAUUUUUUCUUAGCGCUAAUUACUUAUCACUCGAAUCAUUUUUUAAAAUCUAAUACUAAACAUAAAUUAAUAAAGGUAAUGUGGUAAAAUAGUUGUGUUAAUAAAAGUAUAGGGUUAAUUGAGUUGUUGAAAGUUGUCUAACUUGGUCUUUCAUUCUAAUAGUCAUGGUAUUAUCUAUAAAAUUCUUGUUAUUCCAUUUUUUUAAUUGUAUAUAGCACUUCGAUCAUCGUAUUAUUUUGUCGUAGAGACUGUUGUGUUUUUAGUAUGAUUUGUCUUGUUUUCUUAAAAAAAAAUUGUCUUGAUUCCUUUAUUCUCUCAAUGUUUCCUUUUUUCAUUAUGAUUUGUAGUGUUUGUUACUUGAGUCGAGAGUCUAUCAAAAACGAUUUAUUCUAUUUUAUAUGAGUAGGAUUUGCAUACAUAUUUACCUUUUUGUACUCUGUAAAAUUACAUUGAAUAUGUUAUUGUAAGAUAAAUCUCUCAUAAUUUUUUUUUGGUAAUCUACUAAAAAUGAAAAUUAAAUAUAUUAUACUCUAAUAGUAUAUUUAGAGUGGACAUACAAUUAGCAAUAAAAUUAUGAAUAAGGAUAUCCAAAAUAAGGUUAGAGCAGGCUCUUGUGGUAGACAAUACGAAGAAAGUAACGUUGAGAUGGUUUGAACAUGUGAAAAAAAAAUGUAUAGAUGCCUAGUGAGGAGGUACGAGAGGUUGGUUACAAUAGGUACGAGAAGCGGUAGAGUAGGCAAAAGAAGUAUUGUGAGAGUUGAUUAGACACAACACAAAACAACUAACUUCAAAUUACCAAGGAUACGACCUUAAACAUGAGGACGUGGAGGCCACUUAUUGGGGUAAAAGGUUAAUAAACCAAUGGAGUGUUAUCUUAUUUUCUGAGGUCUUAGGCAUGUUGAUGUUUGUUGUCGCAUUAGUUAUUGCUUUUGAUAUCUAUCAUUGUUUGUUGUUCAUUAUGUUUUAAUUAUCAUACGAUUUUUAACUUUUUAUUCAUUUAUUGCAGCCUUUGCAUUACCUCCCUUAUUAGUUGCUAAAUAAUUUCCAUGAUUUUCUUCAUUUUAUUCUUCUUACUUGAAUUUGUUAUACUCGAGUUUGAGUAUCUUUUGAAAAUAGCCUUUGUAAUUCCACGAUAUAGAUACUCAUUGCGGUUGUUGUAAUAAUCAUAUAUAUAUAUAUAUAAAUAAAAGAGAACAUUAGGCACGCCUACGUGGCGCCACCACAAACUAGAAUUUCCUUUUAAUUUAUUUAUUUCCAAAACUAGCCUUACCCUUUCAUGAAAAGUUAUGACAUUUAUGAAAAGUUGCGACUUUUAUGAAAAGUUAUGACUUUAAUGAAGAGUUGCGACUUUUAUGAAAGGUUGUGACCUUUUCGAAGGAUUACAACUUUUUCAAAUAGUUGUAACAUUUCCGAUAAAGCACAAUAAACAUUUAUUCACACUACCCUUUGUUGUCUAUAAAUAGAGGGAUCUCCUCUCAUUUUAAAACAACAAAAAUUCUGAACCUCUUUUUUUUCUUCACAAUUAAAUAUUUGUUACUUUUCUCCUUUUGAGUGGCUCACUGAUACCAUUGCUUAUGUUAUAGAUCCGAUAUGUACUUUUACAAUCAUUAAUUUAUGCUUAUGUUAUUAAGGAUAAAUGAUAAAAUGUAAUAAUUUUCAUUUACAAUAUUAAUGUUUGUUACUACGUAAUCUUGUAUGUAAGAUAAUAUAGUGUUUUAGUUUUAAUGACCGAUAGAUUUUAAGUAUUAUUUAUAAAUUUCGUGAUAUUAAAUUCCCAUGCGAAGCACGGAUAAUUUUACUAGUAAUAAUAAUAAUAGUAAUAUUUUUUUAAUACUAAGUGUAUGAUUUAAAUUCAUGAAAAGGGGAAAAAGCCGGCAGUAUAUCAUAAUUCCAGUUGAUUUUGGCGCGCAGUUCAAAAUUUUGUCCAAAAGAAGGAACCUAUUUCUCAAUUGCAAAGCGGGAACUCAAAAACCUUUCACUAUACAGAUCAACAGCAGCAUCUUCCACAAUUUCCGACAAUGAGAUGCGCCGGCCGCCGCCGUGUGAACUCAGCAGUGCCGGAUCGGCGACAUCCACCGCCAUCUUCGGCAUUUUCUCUCCACCGGCGUCCGUGAUUCCGAUACAAGCUUUGCCGGUAGCCGCCCUUCAUCUAUCGGUGUAAACUCCCGGUCCUUCGCUAUCCCCAUUUCCGACCGCUCCUAUCAACUCUCUGCUAUGCGCACAAUCAAUGCGUACCUUUCCUCUCCCUUCUGCCAAAGAUAUCACCGAAACCCUUAAAUUUAUCCUCUGUCGUUUUGAAUUUUCCUCAUUAGAGUCGCAAAAACUAGAAGAUAAACUCCAAACCCUAAUGAAAUCCUUAAAUUGCCCAGUGAAAUUGAACAAAUCUGCAUUAUGCGCCCCUGGGACACCUCAUCAUUGGCCUAGUCUAUUCGCAGCAAUUCACUGGCUUGUUCAGUUGUGUAAAUUUGAUGAUAACCGGCUGAGUUCUGCUCAACCACCUGCUUCAGAGUAUAAGGAGUUGAGCUACGCUAUUGAGAGUUAUUUGCAUUACCUCAGAGGAAAAGAUGAUAAAGUGGACAUCAAUUUAAGCAGGAGUUGGAACAAGAAAGGGAGCGGUUGAUUGAGAAUGUGAAUGUGAAGACUCAAGAGGAGAAGCUGGAGGCGAUGAAGAAAGGGCCAUCAAAGAAAAACGUGUUGGAGAAUGAGAAGAGUGCAUUGGAGGAAGAUGUGAAGAAGUUUCAUGCCAUGAUUGAACAGUUAGAAGGGCAUGUGAUGGUGAUGGAGAAGCUGUUAGCGGAGAAGGAGAAAGGCUCGGAGACUAAGGUUGCAGCCAAGGUGAUGAUUUGUGCAGAGAACGAGGAGUUGAAGAAUAGGGUGGAGGAGCAAGGGAAUAAUGCCGGGGAUGCAGAGAGGAUGAAAAGGGAGGUCCAGGCUUUGGAAAGAGAUAUUAAGAACCAGAGGAAUGGAUGGGAGGAGAAGGCGUGGGACCUCGACUCUGCAGCUAGGAAUGAGUACAAGAAGCUGUAGGAGCUAAUGCUUGAGUGCAACCAAUCUUUAAGGAGGUAGUCUCAUACUCUUUUAUACUGUUAAUUGUUGUUAGAAAGAACAGUGAGUUAACUUCCAUUUGACAUUACGAGAUUUAAGUUUCCAGUAAUCCAAGGUUUGUUGUUCUUUAGGCAUGGAUUUAUUGUAUUGCCAUGCUAGUUUAGUUGGACCAAAAUCCAAAUAGAGCUGUAAGAGUAUGAGUAAUAAGACAAGGUUGGAAGGAUAUCUUAUUGUAUUGUCCACCACUGUUGAUUGCUUACAAGUACCAUUCAGUUAAUAGUCAUAGCUGCCAUUAUAUCAAGUUAGCACUCAGCCUGUAUGCAUAUUGAAUUCUCAGCAGAUAAUUUAGAUGACUUAUCAAGGGAUGUGCAGUUCAAUUCAACUUUUCUACAUAGACUACUUUUCGAUUGACCUUCUUAGAGUUUGUACUCCUUCCGUCCCAAUUUAUGUAACACCGUUGAAAUUUCGAGUGUCAACCAAGUUUUUCUUUGACCAAAAUUUCGUUAUAUGCCUUUCAAGUAUUUUAAGUUGUUAAUAAUUGUUGGUCAAAAUUUCGUUAUAUGCCUUUCAAGUAUUUUAAGUUGUUAAUAAUUGUGAAUUACAUUACUUUUAACGUAGUUACCAUUAAAACUUCUCUGUCCAAAUUCAAGAUCAAAGUUUAGAAAUUUGGAUCUCGAAAUUCCAACUGUGCCAUAUAAAUUGGGACAAUGGUAAUUGAAAUUAUAGUAGGCGUUGACUUAUCAUGCCCCAUCAGCUGAGUUUUGAAUUUUUGUUCUCUUUAUUUAGCGUAUUAAGAUUGUUGGAUUAUUAGCUCACUUAUUUACUCGUGAAUAUCUGCCGUCCAUAGUUCAAGCUUUAUCGUGCUAUGUUCAGAUUUUUUUUACCACAGCGUGCUUUUACAAUGUAUGAACCAUAACCAGUGUCGGGGUCAAGCCUAACCCCCCACACUAAGAGCUCACAACCCUGGUGAUGGCUUAAAAAAAAAACCAGUGAUUGAAAACCUGAUAUUUUGCAUCUUAUUAUAGUUCCAGGCUGAUAAUUGCCUGCCACUCAAAUUCUGAUGGACAAUGAAAGCCACAAUUUAGCAAAUAACUGAACUGGACAAUGUUUCUUCAGCCAAAACCUCCAGUAUUAGGUGGGGGGAUUGGGCUACAGAAGUGGAAACUACUAGAAUCCAAAUGUGAAGAGAGAAAGUAGUAAUAAUACAAACCUCACUUAUGGGAGAAGUUCUUUUGGUCAUGUAAUAUAGAGAAAGUAGUAAUAAUACAAACCUCGAUCAACAAACUAAUACCACCCCUUUUGAAUUGGACUUGCAAAGUUAAGUAAUCUUUUGGUAAUUUUCCAUCAUACCAGGAUUCUUAGGUGUCUUGGCAAGCACUCAUCUUCCAUCAGAUAAGGUCAACUAUGAAAUUUAACAGUCCAUCACAUGUUACACAUCUAACAUAACAGGUAAAAACAGCAAAAGAAGCAUUUCCAACUGUGCAAUCAUUGUCCUUUGUGUACCGAGAAAUACCAUUUAUCUGGUAUAUACAAUUUUCUUAUAAAUGAUCUUUUCACUAACAAUUUACUUUUAAUCUUGGAUAGACAGAGCACAACCAGGCACAAGUGCAAUGUAUGAACAUUGUUGUUCAAUCUUACUUACAACUUACCCAUGACCAUUCAGCAUUCAACUGCUCACCUCCAAAUAUUUGCAAUUUUCAGUUGACAGACUUCUUAGAUGCAACACAAACCAAUCCCCUGUACAAGCAUCUCAUUUGAAAUUGAUCCUUGACUUGCACGGUCCUCAAAGCAUCAGAUGAGUACUUGCAGACCCUUUUUUUUUUUUUUGAGAAAGCAAGAGCUUGGAGACUUAAGAGUACACUGUAGCAAAUUGCAUACCAUGUCAAUGCUAGCAUGAAUUCUAGGCAGGUUAAAAAAAGAGAACUAACUAAAUACAAGAGAAGCAUAUAAUAGACCUUGAAAUUCCCCCUCAACAAUGAAUACUGAUGACUUUGUCAGGUUGAAAUAGCUUAAAACAAAAAUAUUUCUCUUUCCCCAGAGUGAAAUUUAACUCAAUAGUCUCUUAUAAGCUCAUUUUAUAAAGAAGUCAGUUUUUUUAAAUGCACCAAAAGGGCAAUUUUAUAUCCCCUCCCACACGAGACUUCCUUUCUUUCUGAAUUUGUGGAAAGGAGGACAAACUAUAGAACUCCCUAUACCUUGACAGAUGCAGAUGGUAUUUACCUCAGUACAAUUGACAGCAGAAUUUAUGGUGCUAAAGGACCUGAGAAAUUUGAUGGUGGCUUCAUAACAAAUGGAUGUUCUAGUAGUUCAGCUGCAGUUGGCCGAUCAUUCGGAUUAACUCGCAAACAGCUUUUUAUGAAAUCCUGAGCUUCUGUCGAUAAGGUAUCUGGUAUAGGAGGAGGUUCACCUCUGCCUAUCCUGAACAGUGCUUGCAUCUGUCGCACAAAACAAUGAUAAAAUCUUAACAUGUGAAUACCCUUAAAACCUGAGGAAAACUAGAGCUUCUCUUUUUUUCUAGUCAUGAAGUUCCAUUAUUUGGGCUAAAAGAAACUAGAUCAUUCAGGACUCAUUGUUGUAAUUAUCAGUGUGCUUACUAGUACUAUUACUAAGUAGACUUCUUCCAAGAAUAUAAAAAGACUUAAACUGGUUAUGCAAUGUCAUGCAACAGCAGUUACCUCUGUUGUGUAGAUCAGCUACAGGCCUACACCUUAAAGCUUAAGGAAGAUCUAUUACAAUUGAAGUGAGAAAAAGAUACUAAAAGACACCCACCCAUGCUAAUAGAAGAAUAUUUUCAGGAAAAUUUACAGUGGUUGUUAAAAGAGAACAUAAAUUAACAUACAAGCAGUUGUCAACUACUAGAUCAUGAAUGUAAAUUUCUUUUCAUAAUAAUCUCCUAUUUCACUUAAGACUACAUAUUUUAGAUGAUUCAUACACAAACAAGCAAGAGAUCAAUUGUUGAAUCUUGUGAAGUC